This 253-nucleotide unclassified non-coding RNA is filed under the name plant metagenome. RNAcentral describes it as "partial contains small subunit ribosomal RNA, internal transcribed spacer 1, and 5.8S ribosomal RNA". The stretch from base 205 to 253 matches the Rfam family "5.8S ribosomal RNA", at positions 1 to 49 of the family's 154-position model. The record is from RNAcentral.
UUUCCGUAGGUGAACCUGCGGAAGGAUCAUUAUUGGAUUUUGAAACUUCAGGCUGCUGCUGGCUCUCCUCGGAGGGCAUGUGCACGCUUGUUGUCCAUUAUUUCUCCCACUGUGCACAAAUUGUAGACCUUUCAGUAGGCCGAUGUUGUUUUUCACAAUCUCUGAAUGUAAUAGAAUGGUUUUGAAUCUUGGGAAAUACAAUACAACUUUCAGCAACGGAUCUCUUGGCUCUCGCAUCGAUUAAGAACGCAGC